This 296-nucleotide long non-coding RNA is filed under the name Brassica napus (rape). Its description in RNAcentral is "long non-coding RNA (BNAP_LNC008435)". Lineage: Eukaryota; Viridiplantae; Streptophyta; Magnoliopsida; Brassicales; Brassicaceae. The record is from RNAcentral.
CUCCACGUAGGAGUUACUUUCCAUUAUACUUCCUGCCAAAGUGAAUUCAAAAACAUUUUUCCUCAUUUUGUCUUCUUGCCUUUGUAUAUAAUGUAUAAACCAUUCCUGUUUAAAAAUUCCAGCUACAAAACGUAACAAACCCAUAUCCAAAAACAUGAGAAGCCAUAUAUAAGACCCGAUCCUACCCCCAUUUAAAAUAACUCGUGUAGCACAUGAAUUAGCCAGAAACUUAGACCAUAUAACAUCUCUUGCCUUAUGCCACCAUAGUAUAAACCAUAAAGUACUUAUAACCUCUC